Molecule: long non-coding RNA, 617 nt
Organism: Canis lupus familiaris (dog)
Lineage: Eukaryota; Metazoa; Chordata; Mammalia; Carnivora; Canidae
Exons: 2
Source: RefSeq, a predicted model, not a curated record
GCUGAAGGCAGAAGCUCAACUGCUGAGUCACUCAGGUGUCCCUGGUGAUUCAGUUUCUUUACUGAGAGAGACUGUGCACUUGAUUCGAGGUGGGGAAGUUGCAGAGGGAGAGAAUCUAAGCCAGUGCUAAGCAUGGAGCCCAACACAGAACUUGAUCUCACAACCCUGAGAUCGUGACCUGAGCUGAAAUAAGAGUCAGAUGCUUAACCAACUGAGUCACCCAGGCACACUUCAGUCGUCUUAAAUUUAUUAAGACUUAUUUUGUGGCCUAACAUGUGACCUAUCCUGGAGAUUGUUCCAUAUGUGCUGGAGAAAAAUGUGUAUUCUUCUGCUUUUGGAUGGAAUGUUCUGUAAAUAUCUGUUAAGUCCAUCUGGCUUAACAUGUUAAGUCUAAUGUUUCUUUAUUGAUUUUCUGUCUGGAUGAUCUAUCCAAUGAUGACAAUGAAGUAUUACUACUAUUAUUAUAUUGCUGUCUACUUCUCCCUUUAGGUCUAUUAAUGUUUGCUUUGUAUAUUUAGUUGCUUCUAGGUUGAGUAUAUGUGAAUUUACAAAUGUUAUAUUAUCUUAUUGAAUUGACCUCUUUAUCAUUAUAUAAUGAACUUCUUUGUCUCUUGUUA